Molecule: ribosomal RNA, 384 nt
Filed under: Bacillus cereus
Lineage: Bacteria; Bacillati; Bacillota; Bacilli; Caryophanales; Bacillaceae
Description: bacterial SSU rRNA
Rfam family: Bacterial small subunit ribosomal RNA
Source: RNAcentral
GCGUAAGCGCGCGCAGGUGGUUUCUUAAGUCUGAUGUGAAAGCCCACGGCUCAACCGUGGAGGGUCAUUGGAAACUGGGAGACUUGAGUGCAGAAGAGGAAAGUGGAAUUCCAUGUGUAGCGGUGAAAUGCGUAGAGAUAUGGAGGAACACCAGUGGCGAAGGCGACUUUCUGGUCUGUAACUGACACUGAGGCGCGAAAGCGUGGGGAGCAAACAGGAUUAGAUACCCUGGUAGUCCACGCCGUAAACGAUGAGUGCUAAGUGUUAGAGGGUUUCCGCCCUUUAGUGCUGAAGUUAACGCAUUACGCACUCCGCCUGGGGAGCACGGCCGCAAGGCUGAAACUCAAAGGAAUUGACGGGCGCCCACACAAGCGGUGGAGUAUG